UCCCCAUUCACGCAUAACACUACACUACUCUAACCCCUACGCCAGAUUCCGCCAAAAUGCCGGUCAAGCGCAGCCGCGCCGGGAGAUCCUCGGCCUACCUCGACUCCGCCGACGCCGCUCCGGGGAAGCUCACCAAAUCAGACGCCUCCGCCGACGCGGAGCGCCCGAAGCUGCUCCACGUUGCUUCUCCGGUGAAUACCGCCGAAUGUGCCGCUGAUCGGACCAAAAUUGGCGGUUUCCUGGAGCGGUGCCACUAUUGCAACAAGCGAAUUGCUCAGAAUUCUGAUGUUUUUAUGUACAGGUUCUGCUUGUGUUCCAUAUUGUAGUAUGAAGCGUGAGACGAGGGCGUCCACCUCGAUGAUCUCUGUUCGUCUCUUAUUAUGAUCACCGUUUUGCUGUCAUAAGCUCAUGCUCAACUGCAGACUGCACAAGGUAAGAGUUUCUAUGCAUUUCACAGAGCUCAUUGCUUCUUGUUUUCUUAUGCGGUUAUAAAUCUUCCCUUUAGAUAUCUGCCCCCUAUUUUCCACCAUUUUUACUUCAGCUUCUUUGUCCUAUCCUCCCACCAAAACCCCACAAACAAUGUGAUAAACAAUCACCUUUUCAAGAUCCAUAUAGAUUCUUUAAUCUGCAGUUUCAUGACCAUGGUACGAUGAGUUUCGUAUAGUUAAGUCGAUGAUUAGGAAAUCGAAGACGAUAACCUUAAUAGUAUACCACCAACUAGAAGUAAUGCCUUUAGUAGUUGGACUUGCAUUGAAAUUCAAUGACCACUAACUUCAUACAUACCCUAUAUUAGAUGAAGUCAUCUUAUGCCUAUUCUUGCUUCACAAUGAUGCAUAUUAAUCUAAAAAGUUUAUAGAAUUUGUUUCCUUCACAGAGAUUUUACUAAAAGAAGUAAAUGCAACCCAAAUAAAUAUUGUAGCCUGCUUCACGCCAACUCCCAUAUUCUGUAAAUUAUGAUGCAUUAUUAGAGACUAGUUGAAUGUUAAGUGUAUUUACUGAUCUCUGCUAUGCUGAGUUGUACCUGCACUGAGAGUACAACUGAAGCAUCAUCACUCAUCACUGUCUAAAUUCAUCACUUGUGCUCAAAACUGACAAGCUUGUUUUAACAAGCAAAGUCUAGUUUUUCCCAACAAAAUACCCUAUUAUUAGCUCCUAACUCCUUGUGUGACAUCAUUUUACAAUUUUUGAAGUAGCCCUAUUUCCACAAAACUACUAGUUUGUGUGAUUCAUUCUUCAUCUUUUGCUAUUUUGGUCUAAAUUUGAUCAUUUUAAAAAUACAAUGACGAAGUCUAAAGUGAUUGAGCUGCGGUAUAUACGUUGUGUCAUCAUCAAAUUAAUGUGGCAUAAAGCUAUGGACCAUUGAAUCUUUCUGAUGUGAGAGAGUAGUUUCUGUUUCACCCAUUUAACACGUAACUCUAUUUCAUCACCAUGAGAUCUUGAUUUUGAUAGUCCAUUACCAUUAAUGAAAAUAAUUGAGUUUUUGUUUUGAUUUGUCAUAUCUCAGUCAACGUCCGUGCAUCUUAUAAAUUCGUACUACUACCUACCAUUUAAAGUUUGGUAUUUGUAAUUAAUUUCUUAAUCUUAUGAUGUGUGAUUAAUAAGAAGAUACUGAUGGGAUGGGAUGGGAUUUUGCAAAAUGUUGGGAUAAAAUGUCUAAACUGAGUAAGUAUUAUCAGUCAAAAUCUAAUAUUAUUCUAGAUAAUAUUUUUAAUUUAUUAUGUCAUUUUCUGCAAAUCUAGGGAAUUGUUGUGUACGUCAUUUUCUAGUCUAUUUAGGAAUUCCCGAUGUAAGUUUUGUUUUGUCUUAUACUUUUAACUUUUUUUAGCAAGUCACGGUACUUCAGAUAGAUUCCACAUUGAAAAUAAUGUAAAAACUAAAUUUGUUGAAGAUAAUAAAAUACUGAAAAUUGAAUUAGUAGGAAUACUAUUAACAGGGACUAAGCAGUCUUUAAUGUUGGGCAAAGUUUUGGGAUGAAAUUAUAGAUGAAUAUAUUAAUUCCUCAAGGGAUGUUCAUUUGCACGAAGGUAAUGUUAUAUAGAGUUGAUUGAUUUUAUGUGAUAUAUGUGGUUUGAAUAGUAAAAAAAUAAUAUUCCUACAUUUCUUUAUUUUCAUCAAAAUUUAUGAGCAGUUGUAGCAAGUGAUCCAGACAUGAUAACAUAAAAUAAUAGGAUAAGUGGAGGGACCAUAAACACAUUAAUAUGUUGGUUAAUUACGCAUCAUGCCACACAUGGGGAGGUAUGUACAUCCACUCACUAUUCAUUUAAUUAUUCUCUUUAUAUACUCUACUUUUUUAUUUAUAUUUGAAAUCUCAUUAAAGAUAUCGAGAUGUAGAUUUUCCUAAAUCUGUUUAUGGCUGGUUUACACUUUUUAACUAGUUAACUUUUUAUAGUUUUUUAAUUCCAAAGACAACCUCUUGGUAUUCUGUCUCAUUUGUAGUAACAUAGUGACCGGUUAGUAUUAAAUUAUUCAUUGAUUUUUCUAUUUUCCUAUGUUUUAUGAAGGAAAUGAUGAUUUUGUUAAAAAAAAAUCAAAUGGGAUAUAACUGCAAAUGGAAGGCAAGGAACAGAUCGCCCCAUCCCCUUAGAUUUUGUCUCCCCUUCUUUUAUAUCUUUCACUUAAAUUAUAUUAAAAAAAAAUUUGCUACCUUAACACCGGCUACUCUCCUAUUGUUGGUCAAGCUAGGAAUAUAGUAGUAUUAUAUUUA
Salvia splendens (bonfire salvia) is the source of this 2704-nucleotide RNA transcript. It is a transcript of the gene named FCS-Like Zinc finger 15, with no coding region annotated. The record is from RefSeq and is a predicted model, not a curated record. The transcript has 3 exons. NCBI's taxonomy places the organism in Eukaryota, Viridiplantae, Streptophyta, Magnoliopsida, Lamiales, Lamiaceae.